This 799-nucleotide ribosomal RNA is filed under the name Streptomyces sp. D198. RNAcentral describes it as "bacterial SSU rRNA". It matches the Rfam family "Bacterial small subunit ribosomal RNA", at positions 49 to 862 of the family's 1533-position model. Lineage: Bacteria; Bacillati; Actinomycetota; Actinomycetes; Kitasatosporales; Streptomycetaceae. The record is from RNAcentral.
UAACACAUGCAGUCGAACGAUGAAAUCACUUCGGUGGUGGAUUAGUGGCGAACGGGUGAGUAACACGUGGGCAAUCUGCCCUUCACUCUGGGACAAGCCCUGGAAACGGGGUCUAAUACCGGAUACCACUCUGUCCCGCAUGGGACGGGGUUGAAAGCUCCGGCGGUGAAGGAUGAGCCCGCGGCCUAUCAGCUUGUUGGUGGGGUAAUGGCCUACCAAGGCGACGACGGGUAGCCGGCCUGAGAGGGCGACCGGCCACACUGGGACUGAGACACGGCCCAGACUCCUACGGGAGGCAGCAGUGGGGAAUAUUGCACAAUGGGCGAAAGCCUGAUGCAGCGACGCCGCGUGAGGGAUGACGGCCUUCGGGUUGUAAACCUCUUUCAGCAGGGAAGAAGCGCAAGUGACGGUACCUGCAGAAGAAGCGCCGGCUAACUACGUGCCAGCAGCCGCGGUAAUACGUAGGGCGCAAGCGUUGUCCGGAAUUAUUGGGCGUAAAGAGCUCGUAGGCGGCUUGUCACGUCGGAUGUGAAAGCCCGGGGCUUAACCCCGGGUCUGCAUUCGAUACGGGCUAGCUAGAGUGUGGUAGGGGAGAUCGGAAUUCCUGGUGUAGCGGUGAAAUGCGCAGAUAUCAGGAGGAACACCGGUGGCGAAGGCGGAUCUCUGGGCCAUUACUGACGCUGAGGAGCGAAAGCGUGGGGAGCGAACAGGAUUAGAUACCCUGGUAGUCCACGCCGUAAACGUUGGGAACUAGGUGUUGGCGACAUUCCACGUCGUCGGUGCCGCAGCUAACGCAUUA